AGUGAACGCUGGCGGCAGGCCUAACACAUGCAAGUCGAACGGUAACACGGUAAAACUUUCUUCUUUCCGGAGGCGUGGCGGGGAGGUGAGAGGUGUCUAGCGAACUCUAUGAUUUAGGGGGAGAUCAAGUAGGGAAGGUAACUAAAAUACCAUAACGGCGCAAGACCAGAAAGGGGGGGAUUUUGGCACCUUGCGAGCGUGUAUGCGCAGAUGUCGGCUUCGCUAGUGGGCGGGGUAAAGGCCCCUCAAGGCGACGAUCCGUAGCUGGUCUGAGAGGAUGAUCAACCACACUGGAAGUGAGACACGGUCCAGACUCCUACGGGAGGCAGCAGUGGGGAAUAUUGGACAAUGGGCGCAAGCCUGAUCCAGCCAUACCGCGUGGGUGAAGAAGGCCUUCGGGUUGUAAAGCCCUUUUGUUGGGAAAGAAAAGCAGCAGGUUAAUACCCCGCUGUUCUGACGGUACCCGAAGAAUAAGCACCGGCUAACUUCGUG
Molecule: ribosomal RNA, 492 nt
Filed under: uncultured bacterium
Lineage: Bacteria
Description: partial 16S ribosomal RNA
Rfam family: Bacterial small subunit ribosomal RNA
Source: RNAcentral